GACGAACGCUGGCGGCGUGCUUAACACAUGCAAGUCGAACGGAAAGGCCCUGCUUUUUUGGGGUGCUCGAGUGGCGAACGGGUGAGUAACACGUGAGUAACCUGCCCUUGACUUUGGUAUAACUUCAGGAAACUGGGGCUACUACCGUAUAGGAGCUCCUGCUGCAUGGUGGGGGUUGGAAAGUUUCGGCGGUUGGGGAUGGACUCGCGGCUUAUCAGCUUGUUGGUGGGGUAGUGGCUUACCAAGGCUUUGACGGGUAGCCGGCCUGAGAGGGUGACCGGCCACAUUGGGACUGAGAGACGGACCAGACUCCUACGGGAGGCAGAAGGGGGGAAUAUUGCACAAUGGGCGGAAGCCUGAUGCAGAAACGCCGCGUGCGGGAUGACGGCCUUCGGGGUGUAAACCGCUGUCGCCUGUGACGAAGCGUGAGUGACGGUAAUGGGUAAAGAAGCACCGGCUAACUACGUG
RNAcentral lists this ribosomal RNA (468 nucleotides) under uncultured bacterium. RNAcentral's name for it is "partial 16S ribosomal RNA". It matches the Rfam family "Bacterial small subunit ribosomal RNA", at positions 28 to 507 of the family's 1533-position model. The record is from RNAcentral.